RNAcentral lists this long non-coding RNA (238 nucleotides) under Mytilus galloprovincialis (Mediterranean mussel). The record is from RNAcentral. Lineage: Eukaryota; Metazoa; Mollusca; Bivalvia; Mytilida; Mytilidae.
CUUGAAUUCAACGACAUUGGAUCAUUUAUAACAAACGUUCAAACUUUUAUAGAUUUUUCAUUGAUUUUUAGUGAAUUUGACAAACGGCACAUGCAGUGAUCUUUUGGGAGAUAUCGGAGCAACAUCUGUUCGUUUUAAAGUGUUGUAAGGAAACUUAAGUCAUAGCGGCAGGGACACGGGACUUUAUUUGUAUGCAUAAUUUUACAGUACUUAUUGGUAGGAUGAGUCUCUGUGCAGU